UUUCCGUAGGUGAACCUGUGGAAGGAUCAUUAGUGAACGCCCUCACGGUCUUAUCACUAUUUCAAACCACUGUGAACCGUGCCCUUCGGGGCUAUUCUACAAACAUGGUGUCAUGAACGUCAUAUAUCAUAACAAAACAAAACUUUCAACAACGGAUCUCUUGGCUCUU
Molecule: unclassified non-coding RNA, 169 nt
Filed under: plant metagenome
Description: partial contains small subunit ribosomal RNA, internal transcribed spacer 1, and 5.8S ribosomal RNA
Source: RNAcentral